Molecule: non-coding RNA, 48 nt
Filed under: Schistosoma haematobium
Lineage: Eukaryota; Metazoa; Platyhelminthes; Trematoda; Strigeidida; Schistosomatidae
Source: RNAcentral
AUCCAUCUGAUGAGUCCCACACAGGACGAAACACACGUCGAACUGGUU